Molecule: ribosomal RNA, 733 nt
Filed under: uncultured Alphaproteobacteria bacterium
Lineage: Bacteria; Pseudomonadati; Pseudomonadota; Alphaproteobacteria
Description: bacterial SSU rRNA
Rfam family: Bacterial small subunit ribosomal RNA
Source: RNAcentral
AGUGGCAGACGGGUGAGUAACAUGUAGGUAUCUGCCCUUUGGCCUGGAAUAACACGAGGAAACUUGUGCUAAUACCGGAUAAGUCUUUACGGAGAAAGCUUUAUGCACCAUUGGAUGAGCCUGCACUUGAUUAGUUUGUUGGUGGGGUAAUGGCCUACCAAGACUGUGAUCAAUAGCUGAUUUGAGAGGAUGAUCAGCCACAUUGGGACUGAGACACGGCCCAAACUCCUACGGGAGGCAGCAGUGGGGAAUCUUGCACAAUGGAGGAAACUCUGAUGCAGCGAUGCCGCGUGAGUGAAGAAGGCCCUUGGGUUGUAAAGCUCUUUCGUCGGGGAAGAAAAUGACUGUACCCGAAUAAGAAGGUCCGGCUAACUUCGUGCCAGCAGCCGCGGUAAUACGAAGGGACCUAGCGUAGUUCGGAAUUACUGGGCUUAAAGAGUUCGUAGGUGGUUGAAAAAGUUAGUGGUGAAAUCCCAGAGCUUAACUCUGGAACUGCCAUUAAAACUUUUCAGCUAGAGUAUGAUAGAGGAAAGCAGAAUUUCUAGUGUAGAGGUGAAAUUCGUAGAUAUUAGAAAGAAUACCAAUUGCGAAGGCAGCUUUCUGGAUCAUUACUGACACUGAGGAACGAAAGCAUGGGUAGCGAAGAGGAUUAGAUACCCUCGUAGUCCAUGCCGUAAACGAUGUGUGUUAGACGUUGGAAAUUUAUUUUCAGUGUCGCAGGGAAACCGAUAAC